RNAcentral lists this ribosomal RNA (497 nucleotides) under uncultured Sphingobacteriales bacterium. RNAcentral describes it as "bacterial SSU rRNA". It matches the Rfam family "Bacterial small subunit ribosomal RNA", at positions 888 to 1382 of the family's 1533-position model. The record is from RNAcentral. Lineage: Bacteria; Pseudomonadati; Bacteroidota; Sphingobacteriia; Sphingobacteriales.
GCUACAAGUAAACGUAAAGUAAGUACGGACGGGGCCCGCACAAGGCGGAGGAGCAUGUGGUUUAAUUCGAUGAUACGCGAGGAACCUUACCUGGGCUCGAACGUAAGAUGACUGUAGGUGAAAGCUUACAUCUCUUCGGAGCAUUUUACGAGGUGCUGCAUGGUUGUCGUCAGCUCGUGCCGUGAGGUGUCGGGUUAAGUCCCAUAACGAGCGCAACCCCUACCUUUAGUUGCCAUCAGGUUAAGCUGGGGACUCUAAAGGAACUGCCUACGCAAGUAGUGAGGAAGGCGGGGAUGACGUCAAAUCAGCACGGCCCUUACGUCCAGGGCUACACACGUGCUACAAUGGCCGAUACAGAGGGCAGCUACCUGGUGACAGGAUGCAAAUCUCCAAAGUCGGUCUCAGUUCGGAUCGGAGUCUGCAACCCGACUCCGUGAAGUUGGAUUCGCUAGUAAUCGCGCAUCAGCCAUGGCGCGGUGAAUACGUUCCCGGGCCUU